GUGAACGCUGGCGGCGUGCCUAACACAUGCAAGUCGAACGAUGAUGGAGAGCUUGCUCUCCUGAUUAGUGGCGCACGGGUGAGUAUACCAUAGAUAAUGUACCUCUUAGUUUGGGAUAGCCACUGGAAACGGUGAUUAAUACCAGAUACUCCUUCUCGUUAUAAGACGAGUCGGGAAAGUUUUUUCGCUAAGAGAUCAGUCUAUGUCCUAUCAGCUAGUUGGUGAGGUAAUGGCUCACCAAGGCUAUGACGGGUAUCUGGUUUGAGAGGAUGAUCCGCCACACUGGUACUGAGACACGGACCAGACUCCUACGGGAGGCAGCAGUGAGGAAUAUUGCACAAUGGGGGGAACCCUGAUGCAGCAACGCCGCGUGGAGGAUGACGCAUUUCGGUGUGUAAACUCCUUUUAAGAGGGAAGAUAAUGACGGUACCUCUUGAAUAAGCACCGGCUAACUCUGU
This 458-nucleotide ribosomal RNA is filed under the name uncultured bacterium. RNAcentral describes it as "bacterial SSU rRNA". It matches the Rfam family "Bacterial small subunit ribosomal RNA", at positions 29 to 506 of the family's 1533-position model. The record is from RNAcentral.